RNAcentral lists this long non-coding RNA (204 nucleotides) under Homo sapiens (human). RNAcentral describes it as "HSALNT0274598". The record is from RNAcentral. Lineage: Eukaryota; Metazoa; Chordata; Mammalia; Primates; Hominidae.
CCGAGCCUUCAAAGAACUGACCAUCCACGACCACAGACAUGACGAAGCUCUUGGCAUGGCUCUCCCCGCUCUCGGAGAGGAAGUCAUACUUGAGUCCUGGGCGCAGUUCGUUCAAGAUCAUCACGGGAUUCUUCCCACUCGGGGGUGGGAAUGGUGAAUGCCUCCUAAUGCAGUAAGAAGACAGAGCUGGGAGGUGGUGAGUGU